Molecule: long non-coding RNA, 654 nt
Filed under: Homo sapiens (human)
Lineage: Eukaryota; Metazoa; Chordata; Mammalia; Primates; Hominidae
Description: HSALNT0140631
Source: RNAcentral
GGCGAGCCUCCCAGGAUUCUCAAACAGAAGCAGCCUGCCAGGCUGAGCCAUCCAGAAGACCCCCUCCCUCUUCCCUGAGCUCUGUUUCUUCCAUGAGGUUGAAGAAAAAUGCCGUCGUGGUCCCCUGCCUGCUUACUCAGCGUGUCAAGCAGGAGUUCUCAGCUCCAGUGUGCCAUGGAGGGCCUUGGGAAGAGGUCACAUACCAUUCCCAUCCCCAGGUCAGGCUAGACUCCAGGCCAGGUUCCUCCACUGCCCUUGUGUUGACUACAGGAGAAACUUGAGCCAACACCUGACCUUGGGCUAGCUCCCUCCUCACAUCUGCUUUGGAGAUUCCAGUCUCCUCCUGCCCAGGGGCACAGGAGCACUGAGGACCCUUCUUGACCUCCUGGAUCAGAAAGGCAGAGGAAAUGCUGGGCAGAAGUCAAGGUGUCAGUGGGCUGCCCUCCCUCCGGAGGCUCCAGGGGAGAAUCUAUUCCUCGCCUCUUCCAAUUGCUGGUGGCUGAUGGCACACCUUGGCUUGUGGCCACAAUACUCCAAUUUCUGCCUCCAUGGUCACACUGACUUCAUUUCUUCUGUGUGCAUCAAAUUUCUCUCUGCUCUGUGAUUGCAUUUAGGGCCCCUGGAUCAGCAAUGUCAUAAAAGACCCCAGUUCUU